AAUCCAUAGGUUAAUGAGGCGAACCGGGGGAACUGAAACAUCUAAGUACCCCGAGGAAAAGAAAUCAACCGAGAUUCCCCCAGUAGCGGCGAGCGAACGGGGAGGAGCCCAGAGCCUGAAUCAGCAUGUGUGUUAGUGGAAGCGUCUGGAAAGGCGCGCGAUACAGGGUGACAGCCCCGUACACAAAAGCGCAUGUGCUGUGAGCUCGAUGAGUAGGGCGGGACACGUGGUAUCCUGUCUGAAUAUGGGGGGACCAUCCUCCAAGGCUAAAUACUCCUGACUGACCGAUAGUGAACCAGUACCGUGAGGGAAAGGCGAAAAGAACCCCGGCGAGGGGAGUGAAAAAGAACCUGAAACCGUGUACGUACAAGCAGUGGGAGCCCCACCACCAAAGCAUUUGCUGUACCGCGUUGACGGAGCGAAGCGACGUC
RNAcentral lists this ribosomal RNA (431 nucleotides) under Salmonella enterica subsp. enterica serovar Enteritidis. RNAcentral's name for it is "partial 23S ribosomal RNA". It matches the Rfam family "Bacterial large subunit ribosomal RNA", at positions 161 to 585 of the family's 2925-position model. Lineage: Bacteria; Pseudomonadati; Pseudomonadota; Gammaproteobacteria; Enterobacterales; Enterobacteriaceae. The record is from RNAcentral.